This 91-nucleotide small RNA is filed under the name Escherichia coli. Its description in RNAcentral is "partial RtT sRNA". It matches the Rfam family "RtT RNA", at positions 1 to 86 of the family's 130-position model. From Rfam's summary of the family: This family represents a bacterial cis-regulatory element known as RtT RNA. The exact function of RtT is unknown although it is thought that it may be involved in changing the cellular response in relation to amino acid starvation. RNAcentral also lists the same sequence under 1 other name. The record is from RNAcentral. Lineage: Bacteria; Pseudomonadati; Pseudomonadota; Gammaproteobacteria; Enterobacterales; Enterobacteriaceae.
UUGCAUUUGAAGCCCAUGAGGAUGAGAACCUCCGGGGGCGGGGAGGUUCGACUCGAGCGAAGCGAGAGAACGUUGCGCCAGCAACGGCCCG